This 259-nucleotide ribosomal RNA is filed under the name uncultured bacterium. RNAcentral describes it as "partial 16S ribosomal RNA". It matches the Rfam family "Bacterial small subunit ribosomal RNA", at positions 524 to 776 of the family's 1533-position model. The record is from RNAcentral.
UACGAAGGGGGCUAGCGUUGCUCGGAAUCACUGGGCGUAAAGGGGUGCGUAGGCGGGUCUUUUAAGUCAGGGGGUGAAAUCCUGGAGCUCAACUCCAGAACUGCCUUUGAUACUGAGGAUCUUGAGUUCGGGAGAGGUGAGUGGAACUGCGAGUGUAGAGGUGAAAUUCGUAGAUAUUCGCAAGAACACCCAGUGGCGAAGGCGGCUCACUGGCCCGUUACUGACGGCUGAGGCACGGAAAGCGUGGGGAGCAAACAGG